This 1324-nucleotide ribosomal RNA is filed under the name Staphylococcus aureus. Its description in RNAcentral is "partial 23S ribosomal RNA". It matches the Rfam family "Bacterial large subunit ribosomal RNA", at positions 1192 to 2516 of the family's 2925-position model. The record is from RNAcentral. Lineage: Bacteria; Bacillati; Bacillota; Bacilli; Caryophanales; Staphylococcaceae.
UACCGAAGCUGUGGAUUGUCCUUUGGACAAUGGUAGGAGAGCGUUCUAAGGGCGUUGAAGCAUGAUCGUAAGGACAUGUGGAGCGCUUAGAAGUGAGAAUGCCGGUGUGAGUAGCGAAAGACGGGUGAGAAUCCCGUCCACCGAUUGACUAAGGUUUCCAGAGGAAGGCUCGUCCGCUCUGGGUUAGUCGGGUCCUAAGCUGAGGCCGACAGGCGUAGGCGAUGGAUAACAGGUUGAUAUUCCUGUACCACCUAUAAUCGUUUUAAUCGAUGGGGGGACGCAGUAGGAUAGGCGAAGCGUGCGAUUGGAUUGCACGUCUAAGCAGUAAGGCUGAGUAUUAGGCAAAUCCGGUACUCGUUAAGGCUGAGCUGUGAUGGGGAGAAGACAUUGUGUCUUCGAGUCGUUGAUUUCACACUGCCGAGAAAAGCCUCUAGAUAGAAAAUAGGUGCCCGUACCGCAAACCGACACAGGUAGUCAAGAUGAGAAUUCUAAGGUGAGCGAGCGAACUCUCGUUAAGGAACUCGGCAAAAUGACCCCGUAACUUCGGGAGAAGGGGUGCUCUUUAGGGUUAACGCCCAGAAGAGCCGCAGUGAAUAGGCCCAAGCGACUGUUUAUCAAAAACACAGGUCUCUGCUAAACCGUAAGGUGAUGUAUAGGGGCUGACGCCUGCCCGGUGCUGGAAGGUUAAGAGGAGUGGUUAGCUUCUGCGAAGCUACGAAUCGAAGCCCCAGUAAACGGCGGCCGUAACUAUAACGGUCCUAAGGUAGCGAAAUUCCUUGUCGGGUAAGUUCCGACCCGCACGAAAGGCGUAACGAUUUGGGCACUGUCUCAACGAGAGACUCGGUGAAAUCAUAGUACCUGUGAAGAUGCAGGUUACCCGCGACAGGACGGAAAGACCCCGUGGAGCUUUACUGUAGCCUGAUAUUGAAAUUCGGCACAGCUUGUACAGGAUAGGUAGGAGCCUUUGAAACGUGAGCGCUAGCUUACGUGGAGGCGCUGGUGGGAUACUACCCUAGCUGUGUUGGCUUUCUAACCCGCACCACUUAUCGUGGUGGGAGACAGUGUCAGGCGGGCAGUUUGACUGGGGCGGUCGCCUCCUAAAAGGUAACGGAGGCGCUCAAAGGUUCCCUCAGAAUGGUUGGAAAUCAUUCAUAGAGUGUAAAGGCAUAAGGGAGCUUGACUGCGAGACCUACAAGUCGAGCAGGGUCGAAAGACGGACUUAGUGAUCCGGUGGUUCCGCAUGGAAGGGCCAUCGCUCAACGGAUAAAAGCUACCCCGGGGAUAACAGGCUUAUCUCCCCCAAGAGUUCACAUCGACGGGGAGG